GAUGAACGCUAGCUACAGGCUUAACACAUGCAAGUCGAGGGGCAUCAGGAAGAAAGCUUGCUUUCUUUGCUGGCGACCGGCGCACGGGUGAGUAACACGUAUCCAACCUGCCCUUUACUCGGGGAUAGCCUUUCGAAAGAAAGAUUAAUACCCGAUAGCAUAAUGAUUCCGCAUGGUUUCAUUAUUAAAGGAUUCCGGUAAAGGAUGGGGAUGCGUUCCAUUAGGUUGUUGGUGAGGUAACGGCUCACCAAGCCUUCGAUGGAUAGGGGUUCUGAGAGGAAGGUCCCCCACAUUGGAACUGAGACACGGUCCAAACUCCUACGGGAGGCAGCAGUGAGGAAUAUUGGUCAAUGGGCGUUAGCCUGAACCAGCCAAGUAGCGUGAAGGAUGAAGGCUCUAUGGGUCGUAAACUUCUUUUAUAUAAGAAUAAAGUGCAGUAUGUAUACUGUUUUGUAUGUAUUAUAUGAAUAAGGAUCGGCUAACUCCGUGCCAGCAGCCGCGGUAAUACGGAGGAUCCGAGCGUUAUCCGGAUUUAUUGGGUUUAAAGGGAGCGUAGGUGGACUGGUAAGUCAGUUGUGAAAGUUUGCGGCUCAACCGUAAAAUUGCAGUUGAUACUGUCAGUCUUGAGUACAGUAGAGGUGGGCGGAAUUCGUGGUGUAGCGGUGAAAUGCUUAGAUAUCACGAAGAACUCCGAUUGCGAAGGCAGCUCAC
This 711-nucleotide ribosomal RNA is filed under the name uncultured Bacteroidales bacterium. RNAcentral describes it as "bacterial SSU rRNA". It matches the Rfam family "Bacterial small subunit ribosomal RNA", at positions 28 to 729 of the family's 1533-position model. Lineage: Bacteria; Pseudomonadati; Bacteroidota; Bacteroidia; Bacteroidales. The record is from RNAcentral.